Molecule: ribosomal RNA, 512 nt
Filed under: uncultured bacterium
Lineage: Bacteria
Description: partial 16S ribosomal RNA
Rfam family: Bacterial small subunit ribosomal RNA
Source: RNAcentral
GAUGAACGCUGGCGGCGUGCCUAAUACAUGCAAGUCGAACGAAACUUCUUUAUCACCGAGUGCUUGCACUCACCGAUAAAGAGUUGAGUGGCGAACGGGUGAGUAACACGUGGGCAAUCUGCCCAAAAGAGGGGGAUAACACUUGGAAACAGGUGCUAAUACCGCAUAACCAUAGUUACCGCAUGGUAACUAUGUAAAAGGUGGCUAUACUACCGCUUUUGGAUGGGCCCGCGGCGCAUUAGCUAGUUGGUAGGGUAAAGGCUUACCAAGGCAAUGAUGCGUAGCCGAAUUGAGAGGUUGAUCGGCCACAUUGGGACUGAGACACGGCCCAAACUCCUACGGGAGGCAGCAGUAGGGAAUCUUCCACAAUGGGCGAAAGCCUGAUGGAGCAACGCCGCGUGGGUGAAGAAGGUCUUCGGAUCGUAAAACCCUGUUGUUAGAGAAGAAAGUGCGUGAGAGUAACUGUUCACGUUUCGACGGUAUCUAACCAGAAAGCCACGGCUAACUACGUG